UUCCGGUUGAUCCUGCCGGACCUGACUGCUAUCGGAUUGAUACUAAGCCAUGCGAGUCAUUGUAGCAAUACAAGGCAGACGGCUCAGUAACGCGUAGUCAACCUAACCUAUGGACGGGAAUAACCUCGGGAAACUGAGUAUAAUGCCCGAUAGAACAUUAUGCCUGGAAUGGUUUAUGUUCCAAAUGAUUUAUCGCCGUAGGAUGGGACUGCGGCCUAUCAGUUUGUUGGUGAGGUAAUGGCCCACCAAGACUAUUACAGGUACGGGCUCUGAGAGGAGUAGCCCGGAGAUGGGUACUGAGACACGGACCCAGGCCCUAUGGGGCGCAGCAGGCGAGAAAACUUUGCAAUGUGCGAAAGCACGACAAGGUUAAUCCGAGUGGUUUCUGCUAAAGGAACCUUUUGUUAGUCUUAGAAACACUAACGAAUAAGGGGUGGGCAAGUUCUGGUGUCAGCCGCCGCGGUAAAACCAGCACCUCAAGUGGUCAGGAUGAUUAUUGGGCCUAAAGCAUCCGUAGCCGGCUCUGUAAGUUUUCGGUUAAAUCUGUACGCUCAACGUACAGGCUGCCGGGAAUACUGUAGAGCUAGGGAGUGGGAGAGGUAGACGGUACUCGGGAGGAAGGGGUAAAAUCCUUUGAUCUCUCGAUGACCACCUGUGGCGAAGGCGGUCUACCAGAACACGUCCGACGGUGAGGGAUGAAAGCUGGGGGAGCAAACCGGAUUAGAUACCCGGGUAGUCCCAGCCGUAAACUAUGCAAACUCAGUG
RNAcentral lists this ribosomal RNA (765 nucleotides) under uncultured archaeon. Its description in RNAcentral is "bacterial SSU rRNA". It matches the Rfam family "Archaeal small subunit ribosomal RNA", at positions 1 to 773 of the family's 1478-position model. The record is from RNAcentral.